This 492-nucleotide ribosomal RNA is filed under the name uncultured bacterium. RNAcentral's name for it is "bacterial SSU rRNA". It matches the Rfam family "Bacterial small subunit ribosomal RNA", at positions 29 to 511 of the family's 1533-position model. The record is from RNAcentral.
AUUGAACGCUGGCGGCGUGCUUAACACAUGCAAGUCGAUCGGUAACAGGGUGUAGCAAUACAUGCUGACGAGAGGCGGACGGGUGAGUAAUGCUUGGGAAUCUGCCUAUUAGUGGGGGACAACCCGGGGAAACUCGGGCUAAUACCGCAUACGCUCUACGGAGGAAAGCCGGGGACCGCAAGGCCUGGCGCUAAUAGAUGAGCCCAAGUCGGAUUAGCUAGUUGGUAGGGUAACGGCCUACCAAGGCGACAAUCCGUAGCUGGUCUGAGAGGACGACCAGCCACACCGGAACUGAGACACGGUCCGGACUCCUACGGGAGGCAGCAGUGGGGGAAUAUUGGACAAUGGGGGCAACCCUGAUCCAGCGACGCCGCGUGGGUGAAGAAGGCCUGCGGGUUGUAAAGCCCUUUCGGUGGGGAAGAAAAGUCUCGACCUAAUACGUCGGGACCUUGACGUAACCCACUAAAGAAGCACCGGCUAACUCUGUGCCAG